GGCAUGAAUUGAUUAGUUCAUAAACAUUUUCUGAGAAGCUGCUGCACCUGUUGCAUACUUUUCUUUUUUUUUGCUAAACUAAUUCAUGCAUGCAAUAAAACUUCAGCAUUACAGUUACACUCAGUUACAGAUUUGUGCAAAACACUUUCAUAAUCCCAUUACAGGAGUUUCUUUGCUACAAGCAGAUAUUGUGUCAUGAAGAUUGUAGGCAAAACAAGUUAAAAACAAUUAUUUGUCAUUGAACAUUUUACUGAUACUCUUUUGCAAGUUAGUAGUAUAUAAGUGAGGAGAUAGAGUUACUGGAGGGGUGGCGAUCUGAUUUAAUCCAAGUUAAAUACAAUAUAGAAAAUAUAUUUAAAAGUACAAUUUGAUACCAAAGUUACACAUCUUGUCUGAUUUAAACCCUGCUCUAGUCUUCUGCCAUGAAAGAGACGAAGAGACUUCUGUGAUUCAGAGCGCCUGAGCUCCUGAUGUUUUCUGUGCACACUGGAAAAUAUCUGGUGGGCACAAGAUGUUUUGGAGUUGAAACUAUCUGGUGUGCACUUGAAAUGCUAGAGCAGGAUAAACAGGAAGCUUUUGAUUCAGAUAAGAUGAUGGAUGAAUGACAGCAGAAGGAAGGAAUGUGACUAAGGUUCAUUUCUAUUUCUCGUUGAAUUCUUUGAGCAUUAAUCUUUGUUCCGUUAAUGUGUUCUGUGUGCUGCGUUUAUAUGACGAUAUCCUGCGUCAGGAAAUGAAAUUCCUCUGACAUUAUUAUUUUUAGAUACUAGAGGCCAAGGUUCAACGUUUGGCAGUGAACAAUCGUAGAACAAAUGCUGCAGCCUUGAAGCAACAAUUUGUAAAGGAGGAUUAAUCUACAUGCAUCUACUCUCAACUUCAAUUUUUUUUAAUCAACUACAAAAAAAAGGGCUGUUUUUAAAAACUGCAUUGAUUGACAUUUUCCCUCCUGGAAUAAAGGCUUAAAUGUGAAAUAUAUAAAAAAAAUAACACAUGAAAUCACCUCCAAGUCUUUAAGAUGUAGAUAUAGUGGCUGUUAUAUUGAAGACAUUAACCCAGAGCUGCAUUUUUGCUGCAACCUGCGCAUGUUGUUGCUGCUGCGAUUCUGCGGAGAUGAUCAAGAGUACUGAUAAAUACAACAAACUAAGUUUUUAUGACCUGCUACUUGUUACUAUGGCUGAAGAUCGCACAAAUAAUCUGUUUGAACAAACUUAAAUCAACCUGUAGGUAGUUUGUGUCCAUAGAUUUAAUUUAAUUUCAUUAGAAUUUAUUUUCUCUAAGAAGAAACUCUGAUUGUUACCUGUUUGCUUUGUAUUUACCUGACGAUAUAUUUGACUAUAAAGCAGGAAACUUAAACUGUUUAACUUUGUUACAGGACCAGUAUAGACACCAACAGGCUGUGUAUGUGAUGCUUACUCCUGUGUGUGAUUACUGUGUUGUAGAGCUGCUGGCUGGUUGUCAUUACAUGAAGCACCAUAUAAUGACUUGUGUCUAAUGUGCUGCAGGGAUCAAAUGCAAAUACAUGUUUUGAUGCUUUUUACAAUCUGUUGAUGGACGUGCAGAACAGAUUUUUUGUGCUCUUUUUAAGAGUCUUUGGCAUUGUUUGAAAUGUGAGGUUAUUAAAUGUCAGGGCCUCCCUGUUUCUCCUCUUCAGCCUCUUUCCUGAUUCCUCAGCCCCUUUCAUUUUACAUCCGUCCACCAGAUAGCCUCAGACUUUCCCUCCUUUCCACAUCACCUGUCAUCCUGCUUCCCUGCUCUGCUCUCUCCCCUGUCCUGCAAUAAUCGGCCCUACCUGGAUUUGGUCUUUUUGCGUUUUGGACUUUGGAUGCCUGCCUGCUCCUUACUGCAUUACUUUGCUUGUGUUGGAUUGCUCUUGUUUGUUUAAAUCACUGAGCAGAACCACCUCUGACGUCUGCAUUUGUGUCCUACCCCUGUGUUCCUGCUACCCUGCUGGCACCAUGUCAAUUAAAUAUUCACUACAAAUUUGAGGUAGAAGUUCUUGAAAACAUGAUAAUCUCAUAAAAUAUGAGGCCUUGUUAUAGAUUGAACUACCCAACAUUAAAUAAAAUUGAUAAAAUUGGCUCCACUUUGACAAACUACAAUAGUAACAUACUGUUUUCACAUAAAUGCAUCAUAAAUAAUAAUCCCAUAACAGGAUAUAUAAUAGUACAACACUUAAAGGCCAUUUUCUGCCUUAUGGUACUUUUAUUUUUGAUACUUAAUAUUAAUUUUUAGAGAUGUAUCAUUUUCAAUGCAGGGAGGAUUUUCACACUGUAGUAUCGCUACCUGUACUUAAAUGAAGGCUCUGAAUACUUCCUCCACCGCUGGACCACAGUACUGUCUGUAUUUACUGACACACCUCUGUUUGUGUUGUGUCAUUCAGGUGAUUUGUUGGCGUGAGCCUCAAAAUGAGGCUCUGUGACGAAUCUGAGGACGCAAACACUGCAGUGGAGCAGACAGGAGGGUCUGCAGCCUCCAGCUGCUCCAGAAACAGCGAGCGGCUCGCUGUGCCACGUUUCGGCCGUCACCACCUGCCUGCAUACUGGGUGGAGUUUCCAACAGCCAUCUAUCUGCUGAUGAAACACAAUCAAUCCCAAGAGCUGCUCGAUGUCGACUUCAACUUGGAGCCUUCAGUCACAAAACCUGUGUGCGUGAGAAGAGGCAGUAAGGCAUAUCGUCUAGAUUUCCAGGGUCCAGCCUGAACUGUGCAGUUAUGAUGCUGUCAGCAUGAAGAGGAAUGAAUCCUUGAAAAGUGGCCACUGGAUGGGAAACAUCAGAUUCAACGUGAGCUUCGUUAUUCCAGUCGAGAGAUGAGAAAUCUCUUCUACAAGUUGAACAUCAGCGCCGCUGUCAGGAGAUCUGCUUGAAAAAUAACUUUGCCAAAUAAUUUUAUGAAACACACACCAGCAAUUUUGUUUGUUAAUAAUUAACCUUAAAAUCACAAAUGUGACGUAUACCGUUAUAUUUAUAGAUUUAAUAUUUGUAUAUGCUUCAGAACAUCCGUAUCUACAACAGAAAUGUCAUUCAGUAGUCUAAUAGUGUGUGUAUAUGUAUGUAUUUAUAUUAUAGAUAUAAUUACAGUAAAAGAAAAAAGUCUCAGUCAUCAGAAAUGAUGCAUGUUGGAGCAGGUGAGCCCCUCGCUGUGAAGUUGUAUGUUUCUUUUCUCAUCUAACGACGUGAAAUUAGGAUUUAUUUUAACCAAACCAGAGUUGGUAACUGUUGGAAAAGUGAAAAGACAAGAAUUUUGUGAGUUUUAUUUUGUUUCUGUUCAGUUCGAAUGAAAUGUGCUUCACGAUGACGUGAGGUAAAAUAGUUGUUUUUCAUGAAGCAGCCAUUUGUGCUGGUGCUGUAGUGCAACAGUGAAAGUUGCAUACAGCUCCUUUCUUCCAUCACAGUGCUUUCUCUUUUUUCUGUAUUGUUCACAUGUUUUUCUUUCUAAUGCUUAAUAUUUUAUGAUGGUUGUGUCUAUAGGCUGUUAAAUACAUGUAUGUACAUAGUUUUUGUGUUUAUGAGUAAAACCUGGAGCACCUGGAAAUCUUCAAUGCUGAUUUAUUUUUAGAAAAGAAAAGUCCUACACAGGCUGCUACAUUAACACUUUCAUGAUUAUGUGAAUGUUUUAUUGGUGGUGCUCCCAGUGGGAUUGAAACUGUAACCGUGCAUCACAAUGUUCAGUUUUUUAUGACACGUUUUGAGAUUUUUGUUUUUUAGAAGUGUUUCUCAAAGCUCCUGCCCUCUGCUGUGAAGUAAUAAAGUUAGUUUUUUUAAAAUCUGA
Long non-coding RNA from Micropterus salmoides (largemouth bass), 3766 nucleotides. RefSeq lists it as uncharacterized. Lineage: Eukaryota; Metazoa; Chordata; Actinopteri; Centrarchiformes; Centrarchidae. The record is from RefSeq and is a predicted model, not a curated record. The transcript is spliced from 4 exons.